GACGAACGCUGGCGGCGUGCCUAAUACAUGCCAGUAGAACGCUGAAGGAGGAGCUUGCUUCUCUGGAUGAGUUGCGAACGGGUGAGUAACGCGUAGGUAACCUGCCUGGUAGCGGGGAAUAACUAUUGGAAACGAUAGCUAAUACCGCAUAAGAGUAGAUGUCGCAUGACAUUUGCGUAAAGGGUGCAAUUGCAUCACUACCAGAUGGACCUGCGUUGUAUUAGCUAGUUGGUGAGGUAACGGCUCACCAAGGCAACGAUACAUAGCCGACCUGAGAGGGUGAUCGGCCACACUGGGACUGAGACACGGCCCAGACUCCUACGGGAGGCAGCAGUAGGGAAUCUUCGGCAAUGGACGGAAGUCUGACCGAGCAACGCCGCGUGAGUGAAGAAGGUUUUCGGAUCGUAAAGCUCUGUUGUAAGAGAAGAACGAGUGUGAGAGUGGAAAGUUCACACUGUGACGGUAUCUUACCAGAAAGGGACGGCUAACUACGUG
Molecule: ribosomal RNA, 495 nt
Filed under: uncultured bacterium
Lineage: Bacteria
Description: partial 16S ribosomal RNA
Rfam family: Bacterial small subunit ribosomal RNA
Source: RNAcentral